AUUAGGGAGGAGGGUCCUGGGGAAGUCAAAGCUUCCACACCUGUUCUCAAAGCCCCUCUGAGGUAUCCCCUCCCAGAUUCCAGAUCAGGUUUGGGGCUCCCAGGAGCCCUCGCUUUCUCCCCAAUAACCUCCUCCCCUGGCUCCGGGUCCUGCCCUUUGGGCUACAUGGCACAGCCUGUUUCCCUGGCCCUGUGAAGGUCCCUCCAGAGGCUGCUCUGCUCCAAGGCACACACAGACCCCAGGCCUGGCCUCCCUGAGUUGUUCCUCCCUACCAUGGCCUCUAUCCCCUGUGCGGUCUCAUCCGGAGUAAGCCUGAAGCUCGUCUUGUGAAGCCACCAUCACAUUGGCUCUUUCAGCAAUAAGCCUAAGAAAUGUAGUCUCCUCAGGCCCACGAGGUCCUCUAGAACCCCCAGAUCUUUGUGCCAACUCGUCUUUCUCCAGCUGAAGUGCUACAGCCUCUUGGUCUAUCCAUGUAGAGCUGUGAUGGCAUCAAGAAGGAAGUGAGACGCCCCUGGGACACUCCCAGGAGGGAGCAGAGGCUCUGGGGCUCCUGGCAGAUGGGGAAAUUGAGGCUCAGACAGUUACAGGGGCUUGAGUCAGCCACCGUCAAGCUGGCCCCAGGGCUCCUUCUCCUCUCCUGUGCUCGCUCUCAGCCCAGCUGGCUCCUCAGACUUCUCCUGGACAGGGUUGUAAACUCCAGCACUGGUCGACAAUCUCUUCACUGGAGGCAUCUGGCACCUAGAGGACCCUGUGGAAGCCAUGAGGGGUGAAGCUGCCAGCCGCCGCAGGUCCCCCUCCCCACUGCCCGUGCCCAGGCUGGCCUCUGCACAGGCAGGUUACCUUAAGACCUGGACACCCCUCCCUCUUCUGGGGUGCUGAACUGAUUCCUGGCUCUGGAGAACUCUUAUAGAAGCCACACAGCUUCUGCCAAAGUGUCCCAUGUCCACCAAGACAUGGAACACCAGGGUCAGCCUGGCUGAGAAGGCCCCAGAGCAUCUAGAGACCCUUGGGUCUAGAGACCUCCCACGAGAAAGGCUGGCAUCCUGGGGGAAGCCUGAGCCAGGGCAGCCCCAUGGGAGGGGCCUGGGACCAGACUCCAGGUCUGCAGUCCUGUGGCUAUGGGGUCCAGAGCAUAUCCCCCUGGUCUCUCUGGGCCUAACUUCCUUCAUCUGCCCAUAAGAAAAACGGAAGCAAUCCCUUGCUUCUCACAGGAGAGUGGAAGAGCUCUGGGGGUCAAACAAACAAAACAGUGGAGCCAGCCUUCCUUCCUCAUAGGGCAUCCAUGCUGUGUCUGCUCUCACCGGGCUGGUCCAGGAGACUUGAAAACACUCCUGGAAAGGUGGAGGGGCUUUCAGGAGGGGCUCUGUAGUCUCCUGCUCCCCAGAUGGAGGGAUAAGCUCCCCACAGGGUCCAGGCCCUCCCUCCUGCUCUGCCUUCCCCAUUCCCACCUAGCCCCCCACCCAAUCUGCCAGCCUGCCCCCCUGCAGACACCUCUUCCCUCCCUCCUUCCCCAGCCUGGCUCUGGGACCUGAGCCUCGGGCCAUGCACUUUCCAUUAAGGAGAUAGCAUCCCUUUGCUGAAGUCCAUUUGGGAUCCAUUUUAGUGUUAUCUAAAAAUCAAAUCUACAUGGUAAUCCUUUUAAUGUACUCCUGACUUUAGAAAAAAAUGGCUUUGCGCUCCUUCAGGAAAGGUUUUAAAGCAUUACCCAGUAAUUACUACUCACCCAUGAAAACA
Molecule: long non-coding RNA, 1734 nt
Filed under: Homo sapiens (human)
Lineage: Eukaryota; Metazoa; Chordata; Mammalia; Primates; Hominidae
Description: HSALNT0361240
Source: RNAcentral